This 433-nucleotide ribosomal RNA is filed under the name uncultured bacterium. RNAcentral describes it as "bacterial SSU rRNA". It matches the Rfam family "Bacterial small subunit ribosomal RNA", at positions 29 to 506 of the family's 1533-position model. The record is from RNAcentral.
ACGAACGCUGGCGGCAGGCCUAACACAUGCAAGUCGAACGCUCGUAGCAAUACGAGAGUGGCAGACGGGUGAGUAACACGUGGGAACCUUCCCUAUGGUUCGGAAUAGCUCAGGGAAACUUGGGGUAAUACCGGAUAAGCCCUUCGGGGGAAAGAUUUAUCGCCAUUGGAUGGGCCCGCGUCGGAUUAGCUAGUUGGUGAGGUAACGGCUCACCAAGGCAACGAUCCGUAGCUGGUCUGAGAGGAUGAUCAGCCACACUGGGACUGAGACACGGCCCAGACUCCUACGGGAGGCAGCAGUGGGGAAUAUUGGACAAUGGGCGCAAGCCUGAUCCAGCCAUGCCGCGUGGAUGAUGAAGGCCUUAGGGUUGUAAAGUCCUUUUAACGGGGAAGAUAAUGACGGUACCCGUAGAAUAAGCCCCGGCUAACUUCGU